UGACGCCCGCGGUGGGAAGCCGAGCGUCGGGUUGGGGACCCAAGCGGUCCCUGUGCUCGCCGGCUCUCUGCGGCUAUGGGCUCCCUCGGAGUGCGAAACCGGCUCCCCGAAGCCGGAGGCGCCGCAGGACCGCCAUGGGCUUUGAGGCGGCCCGAGAAGGGCCAGGCUUCGGAGCCUGCCACCUGACGAAGGCGGGACGUGGGGGGACGCGUCCAGAAACGUAGGUCUGCGACGAGAGCUGCCCCCGCGGCACUAAGGCUGGCUCAGGAGGCGCCCGGCUGCGGAGGAAGCAGUAGUCCCUUCUCCUCGGCCUUCAGGAGGGAACGGAGGGGAUGACUGUGCGGAGACAGCCGUCGGCCCGGCUGCAGAUGGAGCUGGCCUGGGCGCUCCCCACCAGGUGAGGUCCACCCGGAGCAGACUGGCCUUGCGGAUGGCAGGACGUCCCUCUUGGGCGAGCCUGUGGUCAGAUGAUAGCAGUCCAUCGACCUCAACAGCCUGCCUCUACCCUGAAGUCAUUAGAGAUGAAAGUUCUUGAGCAGUGUUGAUGUGCAGACAGUGCUCCUGCCAGAUCCCAGAGUCCUUCUGGCCCUUCCUUCUGGGCAGGCGCUGUUCUGGGACACUGCCUUGUUCCUGAUCUUAAAGGGAAAGCUCUCCUUUCUUCACCUUUGAGAAUGAUGUUAGCUCUGGGCUCAUAUUCGAUCUUAAAUUAUGUUUAGUUCAUGUGGUGUAUCCUACUAAUCCAGUCAUCUCUGAGGUGUGUUGAUGAUGAUGAAUAUCCCGGCAAACCUGGCAAGACUGUGUCCCAGAUCUAUCAGUUACGGUGAGUCAAAUUUUGUGUUCACUUAGGCUGCAGAAGCCUUUCAGUUUUUGAUUUCUCAAAAAGGGAGUCUGUCCACGAAUUGAUACUAAAUUGGUGUGUUUGUGGGAAUAAGAAGGUCCUCGGCUUCCUACACCAUGUCUUGCUCUAGAAAUAGCACUAGUCCGUUGUUCUCAGCACCUCUUGACUGAUCCACCCACUCUUGGAGUACAGCCCGAGCGCUCGUGGUGGCUGUCACACCCACUAGCACCAUAGUUCCAGUGACUGCUCCCUGAGAGUGCAGAGACCAUCCUGGAAGUUUAAGUAGUUCUGUGGCAAAGGAGCUCGAGCUCUUGACCAUUCCAGUGUUGGAAUGAUUUAUCGUUUUCUGAGCACUGGGGCCAUCAUUCUGUGAUGCGUUCGUCGUUCAACAAAUAGCGUGGUGAUGACAUGCCAGGCUGUCCUAGGCAGUGGGGAAACAGACCAAGUCCUCAGUCCAUUCCUGACUCCUGUUUCUCUCCUACCACAUGUCUCAUCUCAUCACUAAGUCCAGUGGCUCUACCUGCAAAGUAAGCCCAGUUUGAGACUUCCAAUGCCCUCCUCAACCACAAACUGCUCCAAACCACCAUCAUCUCAUAUGGCCUCACUAUUUCAGUAACUCCUGAGUUUCUUGCUUUACCUCAGGCCCCAUAGUCUAAUCAUAACACAGCAACUGAGCAAAUGCAUAGAACUGUGAGUCCCGUCUCCUGUUCCUUUGCUCCAGUGGUUUCUCAGAAUAAACACCAGAUUCUUUAAUGUUACCUGAUGAUCUUACACAAUCUGGCCUCCAUCUCCUUUCUGACAUCUAGUGCUCUCCUCUCUCACUCCACCAUGCUGGCCUUCUUGCUUAAAGUGAUACAUGAUUGACUAUGAAGUAGGGAAGUCAGUCAUUGUCAUACGUAUCCACACAAGGUGAAUAAGGUUUGGACAGUGCACUUGGGUAAGCUUCCAACCCAAGCUUGGGCCUUGAAAGAGAGAUUUAUACUGGCAGAUGAGAAGAGGGAAGCAAGAGGACCUAGUAGAUGGGAUCGAGCAAAGGUAGAGGGUUGUAGCACUCUAGGGAUAGCUCCAUAUGUUAGCCAUGUUUGUUUGCAAACCAGUAUUAGGCACCUGGAACAGUACAGGCACCACAGUAGGGGGUUGAGACUUACUUACUGAAUGAACGAGAGAUAUUUGGAUGGUACUUAGUGGGCAAUGGGACAGAAGGUUUAGAUGGUGCCCAUUCAAGGAACACUUGCCUGUAUAGGAUUUGAGAAACAACAUGGUGCAUGUUUUUGGUAGAGAGGUUGAAUUUUUGGAGGGAGUAGACAGAAAUAAAGCUGGAAAGAUAGGUCGAAGCGAGAUUAAGGAAGGGCUUGGAUGUCACUCAGAGGUUUACAUUAGGUGUGCUCAGGGCGAUGUUGGGGAGCUUCCAAGCAGGGGAAACCAGAUGAAGUGACUGUCAGUCUGGAGUCUGGAAUGAUGGCCAUAAUGGCUGGAGCCCGGGAGAGACACUUUCCAGAACCUCAGGCUUAACACACCGUGGGCCUAUAGUACUUGUUAAAUAAGGAAUUGAAUUGCAGAAGGGAUAUUGGGGCUAGAAUGGGAGAUUUAAGAAAGUUUCAGGAAUGAGGGAUCAUUAAGAAUUGUCUUUGAAGGAUGAGGAGGAAAUUUGGAGGGUCUGGGGACACACCUCCCCACGUCUUCCCUUUCCAUCAGUGCUUUAAGAGGAAGAACCUGAACAGAGGCAUGAUCCUCACCUGUCAUGUCCUGGCCACCAUGCUGGUGUGCUCUUCCCUCGUCUCCUUCCGGGUGGAAAGAGAACUGCCUGGAGAGGCCUGCAUCUUCGUCAGUGUGCCCUUCAAAGACCACAGCAGUCAGAUGUGCUGGGAGCCCAAAUACAAGCCCAGUGAGUCCCGGGGUAAGCUGCAGCCUCGGCCUACUUCCUCCUGGGUAGAGUUUUCAUGGUCAGCGCCCUUCUCCUCUCACUCUGCUUCAACUUUGUGUUGCUGACCUUCCCGCAGUUACUCCCUGAGACCCAGAAACAGUAUGUUUCUUGUGCUGGUGUCUUCAAUCAUCACAGGCAAGGAGAGGCGGGAAUGAACUCAGAAGGUCUUGGCUUUGGGUUAGGGUGGGAUUUUCGCUUGAUCCGCUUUUUAAUCACUGUUUAGGAAAGUACAGAGGAAGAGGAAAGUCUAGGAGAAGCACAUCGUCUCAAAGGAGGCAGAAGGAAAGUGAGGGGCAGUAACAAGGGCACGAUUCUGGUUCAUCGAUCACGACCCUGCCCUGAAACUUUGGAGGACUGGCAGAGGCUAAUCAGGAGACCUGCAUCUCCCCUUUCUUGGGUCCACAGGUAAUUUUGUGUUCCUCUCAUUAUUAAUGCAUACAUGCAAAUUUUGGAAGUGUCUCAGGGACCCAGUCCACCAAAAGUCACCUGUAAGUUUCCUUACUUCAUGAACGUGUCCAGCUCUGUCCUGUUUCUAGUGUCUGGUCAGUGAUCAUUGGAUUCUGAUGAGGAAGGUGAGUUAACCUCCCAGGCAGUGGGUAAAGCUCAUUUCUUUGAUCUCCCUUUUUUUUUGUCUUAGAGUCUCAGACAUGUGGAAGUUAUAUCCGCAGCCAAUUAUCUAACUUUCUCCAGUUCCUCUGUGGUUUCUGGGCAUUGGUGGCCCUUACGAUAUUUGCCCGCAACUUCUUCCUAUUGUCCAGUGACCUGUAUUAGAAACUUUGUUCCUUCAUGAUUUCUUCCUGCAGUUCAGUUUUGCAAUAUAAAUCCUCAAAUUGGGAUUGAGAAGCAAUCUCUCUGCACCAACUUGAACAAGGGGUCGAAUGCAGAAUAUGGGAAAGAAUUGUUUCCCUUUUUUGACAACAGGAAACAGAAGACCACAUGUAGGACUGGUUACAUAAUUUGGGAGGCCCGGUGCGAAAUGAAGAUGCGGAGUCUCUUGGUCGAAAAUUCUUAGCAAUUUCAAGAUGCUGACAGCAGAGCUUUAAAGCAAGCGUGAGCUCCUCCGAGUGCAGGCCCCCUGUCGCUGCCCAAGUAGCAUGUCCGGGAAGUGAGCUCGGACACUGUGUUAUGCGAUAUGUGAUAACAACAACGUGUGUGGGUGACCCACGCUGUAGUCUCUGGACCCAUUACACUCUUUAAAAUGAGAGAUUGUCCUAGAAUCACGAGUGUAGUUAUUUUGUUAGGAGCCCUCUGUCUUCGCAGUUCCCAGUGUUUGGAAGCUGUUGGCAUUUUAAAAUCUCAACCUCGCCACAUGGAUGCCAUCUCAUCGGAAGACACAGAGCUGAGCCUGGAACCACGCGGAAGGCGUGAGUGUGGUGCGGCAGACUCGGCACCCUAACUGGGGAUUUCUCAGGCAUUCACCCCAAAGAUGGUGUCACUGAUUCGGGAAGGCCCUGACUUCUUCCCCUUGUUCUGUUCAUUUCUCUUUCUGGAGCCUCAGGUCACAGGUCUGUUUCGGGGCAGAGGAAGGGAAGGGGUAGCAUUGUGUGUGCAGGGCUAGCGGAGAGGCGGCCUUGCCUUUCGGCUACUGGAUUACGCAGGUGCCUGUUCGCCGUUAUCUCUGCUUCUCUGUGCUCGCUGGGGACCUGCCUCACGGGGGUGUCUCCUUGUCCUAAACAAAGCCCUUUCCCCAUCUGUGAAGUUUAGGUUUUAAUAAACACUCUCUUCCCUC
Lutra lutra (Eurasian river otter) is the source of this 4491-nucleotide RNA transcript. RefSeq lists it as uncharacterized. The transcript has 4 exons. Lineage: Eukaryota; Metazoa; Chordata; Mammalia; Carnivora; Mustelidae. The record is from RefSeq and is a predicted model, not a curated record.